This 1298-nucleotide long non-coding RNA is filed under the name Homo sapiens (human). RNAcentral's name for it is "long non-coding RNA NONHSAT163316.1". The record is from RNAcentral. Lineage: Eukaryota; Metazoa; Chordata; Mammalia; Primates; Hominidae.
CUUACUGUCAAUGACUGUACUAUUCACUGUCUUCAACAAAAGUCAGCUAUUCCAGGAAACUCUCGUCCAGAAAGAUAAAAAUUGAGAAUGAGACAUCAAUCAAUAUGCGGAAGAUUUACAUGGUUCGGUCUGGAAGGGUGGGACAAUUCGAAGGGUGAGGAGAGAAGAGGAGCUUCCGGGUCAUAGGUAGGUUUAAACAUAUUCUGAUUGGGAAUUGGUUGAAAGAGUUACGAAAGGAAUGUCUGGGUUACCAGGAGGGGUUGUAGAGACCACGGUUUUAUCAUGAAGAUGAAGCCUCCAGGUAGCAGGCUUUAAAGAAAAAUAGAUUGUAAGUAUUUCUUAUCAGACUUAAGGUCUGUGUUAAUGUUAAUGAGGCAUGUCCAACCCUCACUUCCCGUCACGGCCUGAGCCAGUCUUUCAGGUUAAAUUUUACAUGCCCUGGCCAAAGAGUUAGUCCAUUCAGAUCGUUGCCAGGGGCCUUCAAAUUCUAUUUUUGGUUUACCGCAGGGGUCUCCUACCCCUGCAAUAACUUUACCUAAAGGUAUCCUGUUAGGAACCAGGCUGCAUAGCGGGAGGUGGGAAGCAGGCAAGUGAGCAUUACUGACUGAACUCCGCCUCCUGUCAGAUCAGCAGCAGCUUUAGAUUCUCAUAGCAGUGCGAACCCUAUUGUGAACUGUGCAUGUGAGGGAUCUAGGUUGUGUGCUCCUUAUGAGAAUCUAAUGUCUGAUGAUCUGAAGUGGAACAGUUUCAUCCCCAAACUAUCCCCACCUGACCACCCCAUCCGGAGAAAAAUUGUCCCAUGGAAGCUGUCCCUGGUGCCAAAAAAGGUUGGGGACCAGCAGUUCACAGUAGCCAUCUCCCUAUGGCGGUGAGCAAUAAACUCAACUUUGCCUUAUGAAAAGGUUCUUUCACUGGUGUUUGAGAGAAGCCGGCAUUUGACAAUAUAUGUCAACCUAAACAAACAAAAGUAUUUUAGGGCUUUGCUACUCAGAGUGUGGGGUUGGUUUAAAAUGCAGGGUCUCAGGCCCCACCUCAGUCCCGUAGAAUCAGAAUCCGCAUUUUCACAAGAUGCCCAGGUGACUGUGUGCACAUUGCAGGCUGUGGUCUUGGGCAUUAUUCUUCUAAAGAAUGAGUGCAGGCUGGGCGCGGCGGCUCUUGCCUGUAAUCCCAGCACUUUGGGAGGCCGAGGUGGGUGAAUCACAAGGUCAGGAGUUCGAGACCAGCCUGGUCAACAUUUUUAAUAGAAACCCCUUUUCUAUUAAAAAUACAAAAAAUUAGCUUGGCGUAGUGGUGAGCGC